This 253-nucleotide ribosomal RNA is filed under the name uncultured bacterium. RNAcentral describes it as "partial 16S ribosomal RNA". It matches the Rfam family "Bacterial small subunit ribosomal RNA", at positions 524 to 776 of the family's 1533-position model. The record is from RNAcentral.
UACAGAGGUCCCAAGCGUUGUUCGGAUUCAUUGGGCGUAAAGGGCGCGUAGGCGGCCCGUCAAGUCCCGUGUGAAAGCCCCCGGCUCAACCGGGGAACGGCGCGGGAAACUAGCAGGCUUGAGUUCGGGAGAGGGAAGCGGAAUUCCGGGUGUAGCGGUGAAAUGCGCAGAUAUCCGGAGGAACACCGGUGGCGAAGGCGGCUUCCUGGACCGACACUGACGCUGAGGCGCGAAAGCUAGGGGAGCAAACGGG